This 492-nucleotide ribosomal RNA is filed under the name uncultured bacterium. RNAcentral's name for it is "partial 16S ribosomal RNA". It matches the Rfam family "Bacterial small subunit ribosomal RNA", at positions 29 to 507 of the family's 1533-position model. The record is from RNAcentral.
AGUGAACGCUGGCGGUAGGCCUAACACAUGCAAGUCGAACGGCAGCACAGUAAGAGCUUGCUCUUACGGGUGGCGAGUGGCGGACGGGUGAGGAAUACAUCGGAAUCUACUUUUUCGUGGGGGAUAACGUAGGGAAACUUACGCUAAUACCGCAUACGACCUACGGGUGAAAGCAGGGGAACUUCGGACCUUGCGCGAUUGAAUGAGCCGAUGUCGGAUUAGCUAGUUGGCGGGGUAAAGGCCCACCAAGGCGACGAUCCGCAGCUGGUCUGAGAGGAUGAUCAGCCACACUGGAACUGAGACACGGUCCAGACUCCUACGGGAGGCAGCAGUGGGGAAUAUUGGACAAUGGGCGAAAGCCUGCUCCAGCCCUACCGCGUGGGUGAAGAAGGUCUUCGGGUUGUAAAGCCCUUUUGUUGGGAAAGACAAGCAGCAGGUUAAUACCCCGCUGUUCUGACGGUACCCAAAGAAUAAGCACCGGCUAACUUCGUG